AGUUGUUAAUGAUGUAAAGUUACCCAUGCAUAUAUCCUGUAAAUAAAAUGCUAUUAAAUAAAAAAAAAAGAAGUUCUGAGUAGAAACCAACCGGAGUAAGUGAAGGCAUAAUAUCUUGUGCACAAGCAAUCUAACCAAACCACUAUAAGAAACAGGGCCAGAUCAAUGCCUAGACAACAUAAUCAGUAUCUAGGCAACCUACUUCUGAGCCAUAACAGGAUGCAGGGCCAGUCAGACCAGUAUUAGGCAACCCAUGGCUGCCCUAAAGCCUCUAAAACCCAUUCUUGACCCCUGCAGAGAAAGAGCAGGGGUAUGAGCCAGAAUGGAUGGCAUGGAGAAGAGGGAAUGAAAAAUAGAGAAAAAUAGUAGAAAGACUGCAGAGAAAUUCUCUCAGUGACUCAAGAGUCUUUUUGUACCUAUUAUUUAUCCUGGACGACAGAAACCCUAAUAAACAGAGAUCUACAAUGGAAGAGCAGUUAUAUCUGUUGAAUCGCCAUCAAUCAAUAGAAUUCAUCUCUAUUUUAAAAGUGAUUGACAGUCUCCAGAUGACAACAUCUGCAGCAGAAGUUGACUCCUUUCCAGAAGUGGAAUCUAUCUUUGUAAUUCUGCAUGCUUUCCCAAUGCCUCAGCUAGUGCAGACUGUGCAAAGCUCCUUAUCUAGGACUCUAAGAAAGGAUAACAGGACUGCUCAAGUAUAAAAACAGGGCAGAGAAACAACUUCAAGCCUGAAGAAUAUGAACACAAAGAAGGUCUGUGUGCAACGUACCACCUUCAGGCAGCUUGGUCUUUUCAAUUUGGAGACCACUUCCCUCCAGAUUCUUCCAGCUGCUGAACACCAAAUAAUAGAUCUCUUCUUCCUCGGAGGCCCCAGAUCAAGACACCAUCUGUUGCUCAUUUGGAGGAGAUUGUCCUGCUCAGAAACUGUGGAAAUGUGAUCGUUCCAAUUCUUCCCAUCAGCCCUCAGCCCUCCUUCGCUUCCCAUUGCACCCACUAAACUCCCAUCAACCCUGGGCAGUGCCAGCUCACCAGACAAGCCCUCCCCACUCAGUAGCAUCCCUGCUUCAUAAAUGGUGCGGAAGGAUGGCCAGGUUGCUCUUGGAUAGCCAUGGAUCACCAUUCCCACAACCAUGCUGCCCACAGAAGCCUGGAACACAAAGGCAGCCCUAUUGGAACUGCCGCCUUCAAGAAGGCUUUAUAGUUCACAGCCAAACAAUGUAGCCACGAGCAUCUUUCCCUAUGGCGACAGUGCCAUCUAGCGGUCAGGUAAGCUAACGGAGAGCACUCCUCUUGCCUUCAACCUCCAGGAAGGGUUACUUUACUACACCUGCAAAGCCCUCCUUCCCCUCCAAGAAGCAGCUGAAAUGACUAGAUGCCCAUAGUGGCCAGCCAGUAUGCAAGAUCACUAAUCACCCGUCUAAACUAU
RNAcentral lists this long non-coding RNA (1423 nucleotides) under Sarcophilus harrisii (Tasmanian devil). RNAcentral's name for it is "lncRNA (ENSSHAG00000025766.1)". Lineage: Eukaryota; Metazoa; Chordata; Mammalia; Dasyuromorphia; Dasyuridae. The record is from RNAcentral.